Molecule: long non-coding RNA, 384 nt
Organism: Capsicum annuum
Lineage: Eukaryota; Viridiplantae; Streptophyta; Magnoliopsida; Solanales; Solanaceae
Exons: 2
Source: RefSeq, a predicted model, not a curated record
AUCCAUUCCUAACUCAUAUUACUACUAUUAUGCAUAUUUCAUAAUCCUCCAUUCACAAGUCAUCUAAUAUCUCAAUGUUUGCUUUAGUCAGAUGGGAGCAAACAAUCGAAAAGGACUAAAAUAUGGGGCUUUUGGAGUUCAAGCAGAAGAUAAUGGCAAGGACAACAAAGAAGAUGCUAUUGUGAUAUGCGAACAACUCCUCAUAUUGAGAGGUAUGGACUAGAAUUUUAAUUUAUUUGGGUAUUGCCCAACAAAUAGAGUUAAAGAUCUCCUCUCUACUUGUUAUCUUUUUCUCUGCUUAAACUCUCUCAUCAUCCUUGUAUCUCUUCAUCACCAAAAACUUCAAAUCCUUCGAUUAAUCUCACAUAAUCUACUUGAAUACUA